Molecule: ribosomal RNA, 253 nt
Filed under: uncultured bacterium
Lineage: Bacteria
Description: partial 16S ribosomal RNA
Rfam family: Bacterial small subunit ribosomal RNA
Source: RNAcentral
GACAGAGGGUGCAAACGUUGUUCGGAAUUACUGGGCGUAAAGCGCGUGUAGGUGGCCAGGCAAGUCGGGUGUGAAAGCCCCGGGCUCAACCCGGGAAGUGCACUCGAAACUGCUUGGCUCGAGUGCCGGAGAGGGAAGCGGAAUUCUCGGUGUAGAGGUGAAAUUCGUAGAUAUCGGGAGGAACACCGGUGGCGAAGGCGGCGACCUGGGUAGAUACUGACGCUGAGGUGCGAAAGCGUGGGGAGCAAACAGG